AGGUUUCAAAUUUAUUAAUAAGCAUGAUUAUUUCUAACUGUAAUUUAUUUUUGCCGUAGUUUUACCUGUGAAUAUUUCUGAUAUCAAAUGUGCAAUUUCUGAAUUAAAAGGUGAUAACUAUAAGGUGUGGAAAGAAAGAGUGUUACUGCAGUUGGGAUGGAUGGAUAUUGACUAUGCUAUUAGGAAAGACGAACCGCCUAGCAUUACUGCGAGUAGUACUCCAGAUGCAGUUGAUCUUUAUGAAAAGUGGGAGAGGUCUAACCGCCUCUUUGUUAUGUUCAUAAAGACCAAGAUUAGUGCUAGUAUUUGUGGUUCCGUCGAUAAGCAUACCAAAGUCAAAGAUCUUCUGGAGGCCAUUGAUGAGCAGUUUGCAUCUUCUGACAAAGAUCUUGCUAGCACCUUAAUUAUGCAGAGUUUAAGGGAGUGCGUGAUCAUAUGAUGCGCAUGAGGGACAUUGCAGCUCAGCUUAAGGACUUGAAAGUUACCAUUUCUGACACUUUCCUUGUGCAUCAAAUUUUAUGCACUCUUCCUCACCAAUAUGGCUCUUUUAAGGUCUCUUACAACACACAUAAGGAUAAAUGGUCAAUUAAUGAGCAUAUGAUCAUGUGUGUUCAAGAGGAAGGAAGAUUGGUGAUGGAGGAGGGUGAAAAGGCGAACUAAUCUACUUAUGCAAAGAAGAAGAAGGAUCACACUAAGGAUAAGGAAAAAGGUCAGAUUCCAGCCAAUCAAGCCAUCAAGAAAGAGUCUUCGUGUUUUUUCUGUAAGAAGAAUGGACACAUGAAGAAAGACUGUGUAAAGUUCAAGGCUUGGCUUGAGAAGAAAGGGUAUGACAAACCUAUGGAAACCAAUGGGGAGUGAACAUCACAUCUAUUCAGGCAACCAGAUGAGUUCGCAUGUAGAGGUCGUUGGGACAUGCAGCUUAAUUUAAGUAGUGGUUUUAUUUUGCAUUUAGAGAGAACAUUUUAUGUUCCAAAUUUAUCUAGAAAUUUGAUUUCAGUUUCAAGACUUGUACCUUCGAGAAUUUCCUUUAAUUUUUCAGACUCUGGUUUCAGUUUAAUUAAAGAUUAUGAAAUUA
Beta vulgaris subsp. vulgaris (sugar beet) is the source of this 1075-nucleotide long non-coding RNA. RefSeq lists it as uncharacterized. The record is from RefSeq and is a predicted model, not a curated record. NCBI's taxonomy places the organism in Eukaryota, Viridiplantae, Streptophyta, Magnoliopsida, Caryophyllales, Amaranthaceae. The transcript is spliced from 2 exons.